RNAcentral lists this ribosomal RNA (253 nucleotides) under uncultured bacterium. RNAcentral's name for it is "partial 16S ribosomal RNA". It matches the Rfam family "Bacterial small subunit ribosomal RNA", at positions 524 to 776 of the family's 1533-position model. The record is from RNAcentral.
UACGUAGGGUCCGAGCGUUGUCCGGAAUUAUUGGGCGUAAAGGGCUCGUAGGCGGUUUGUCGCGUCGGGAGUGAAAACACGGGGCUUAACCCCGUGCCUGCUUCCGAUACGGGCAGACUAGAGGUAUGCAGGGGAGAACGGAAUUCCAGGUGUAGCGGUGAAAUGCGUAGAUAUCUGGAGGAACACCGGUGGCGAAGGCGGCAUCCUGGACCGGCAUUGACGCUGAGGAGCGAAAGCCAGGGGAGCAAACGGG